This 492-nucleotide ribosomal RNA is filed under the name uncultured bacterium. RNAcentral's name for it is "partial 16S ribosomal RNA". It matches the Rfam family "Bacterial small subunit ribosomal RNA", at positions 29 to 507 of the family's 1533-position model. The record is from RNAcentral.
AGUGAACGCUGGCGGUAGGCCUAACACAUGCAAGUCGAACGGCAGCACAGUAAGAGCUUGCUCUUACGGGUGGCGAGUGGCGGACGGGUGAGGAAUACAUCGGAAUCUACUUUUUCGUGGGGGAUAACGUAGGGAAACUUACGCUAAUACCGCAUACGACCUACGGGUGAAAGCAGGGGAUCUUCGGACCUUGCGCGAUUGAAUGAGCCGAUGUCGGAUUAGCUAGUUGGCGGGGUAAAGGCCCACCAAGGCGACGAUCCGUAGCUGGUCUGAGAGGAUGAUCGGCCACCCUGGAACUGAGACACGGUCCAGACUCCUACGGGAGGCAGCAGUGGGGAAUAUUGGACAAUGGGCGCAAGCCUGAUCCAGCCAUACCGCGUGGGUGAAGAAGGCCUUCGGGUUGUAAAGCCCUUUUGUUGGGAAAGAAAAGCAGCAGGUUAAUACCCCGCUGUUCUGACGGUACCCAAAGAAUAAGCACCGGCUAACUCCGUG